AUGGCUGUCGUCAGCUCGUGUCGUGAGAUGUUCGGUUAAGUCCGCUUAACGAGCGCCAACCCCUACCGCCAGUUGCCAACGGGUAAAGCCGGGGACUCAGGCGGGACUGCCGGCGUAAGCCGAGAGGAAGGCGGGGAUGACGUCAAAUCAGCACGGCCCUUACGUCCAGGGCUACACACGUGUUACAAUGGCCGGUACAGAGGGAGGCGACCCGCGAGGGGGAGCGGAUCCCGAAAGCCGGUCGUAGUUCGGAUCGGGGUCUGGAACCCGACCCCGUGAAGCCGGAUUCGCUAGUAAUCGCGCAUCAGCCAUGGCGCGGUGAAUACGUUCCCGGGCCUU
This 339-nucleotide ribosomal RNA is filed under the name uncultured Rikenellaceae bacterium. RNAcentral describes it as "bacterial SSU rRNA". It matches the Rfam family "Bacterial small subunit ribosomal RNA", at positions 1045 to 1382 of the family's 1533-position model. Lineage: Bacteria; Pseudomonadati; Bacteroidota; Bacteroidia; Bacteroidales; Rikenellaceae. The record is from RNAcentral.